This 2794-nucleotide ribosomal RNA is filed under the name Shigella sonnei. RNAcentral's name for it is "partial 23S ribosomal RNA". It matches the Rfam family "Bacterial large subunit ribosomal RNA". Lineage: Bacteria; Pseudomonadati; Pseudomonadota; Gammaproteobacteria; Enterobacterales; Enterobacteriaceae. The record is from RNAcentral.
UAACCGGCGAUUUCCGAAUGGGGAAACCCAGUGUGAUUCGUCACACUAUCAUUAACUGAAUCCAUAGGUUAAUGAGGCGAACCGGGGGAACUGAAACAUCUAAGUACCCCGAGGAAAAGAAAUCAACCGAGAUUCCCCCAGUAGCGGCGAGCGAACGGGGAGCAGCCCAGAGCCUGAAUCAGUGUGUGUGUUAGUGGAAGCGUCUGGAAAGGCGCGCGAUACAGGGUGACAGCCCCGUACACAAAAAUACACAUAUUGUGAGCUCGAUGAGUAGGGCGGGACACGUGGUAUCCUGUCUGAAUAUGGGGGGACCAUCCUCCAAGGCUAAAUACUCCUGACUGACCGAUAGUGAACCAGUACCGUGAGGGAAAGGCGAAAAGAACCCCGGCGAGGGGAGUGAAAAAGAACCUGAAACCGUGUACGUACAAGCAGUGGGAGCACGCUUAGGCGUGUGACUGCGUACCUUUUGUAUAAUGGGUCAGCGACUUAUAUUCUGUAGCAAGGUUAACCGAAUAGGGGAGCCGAAGGGAAACCGAGUCUUAACUGGGCGUUAAGUUGCAGGGUAUAGACCCGAAACCCGGUGAUCUAGCCAUGGGCAGGUUGAAGGUUGGGUAACACUAACUGGAGGACCGAACCGACUAAUGUUGAAAAAUUAGCGGAUGACUUGUGGCUGGGGGUGAAAGGCCAAUCAAACCGGGAGAUAGCUGGUUCUCCCCGAAAGCUAUUUAGGUAGCGCCUCGUGAAUUCAUCUCCGGGGGUAGAGCACUGUUUCGGCAAGGGGGUCAUCCCGACUUACCAACCCGAUGCAAACUGCGAAUACCGGAGAAUGUUAUCACGGGAGACACACGGCGGGUGCUAACGUCCGUCGUGAAGAGGGAAACAACCCAGACCGCCAGCUAAGGUCCCAAAGUCAUGGUUAAGUGGGAAACGAUGUGGGAAGGCCCAGACAGCCAGGAUGUUGGCUUAGAAGCAGCCAUCAUUUAAAGAAAGCGUAAUAGCUCACUGGUCGAGUCGGCCUGCGCGGAAGAUGUAACGGGGCUAAACCAUGCACCGAAGCUGCGGCAGCGACGCUUAUGCGUUGUUGGGUAGGGGAGCGUUCUGUAAGCCUGCGAAGGUGUGCUGUGAGGCAUGCUGGAGGUAUCAGAAGUGCGAAUGCUGACAUAAGUAACGAUAAAGCGGGUGAAAAGCCCGCUCGCCGGAAGACCAAGGGUUCCUGUCCAACGUUAAUCGGGGCAGGGUGAGUCGACCCCUAAGGCGAGGCCGAAAGGCGUAGUCGAUGGGAAACAGGUUAAUAUUCCUGUACUUGGUGUUACUGCGAAGGGGGGACGGAGAAGGCUAUGUUGGCCGGGCGACGGUUGUCCCGGUUUAAGCGUGUAGGCUGGUUUUCCAGGCAAAUCCGGAAAAUCAAGGCUGAGGCGUGAUGACGAGGCACUACGGUGCUGAAGCAACAAAUGCCCUGCUUCCAGGAAAAGCCUCUAAGCAUCAGGUAACAUCAAAUCGUACCCCAAACCGACACAGGUGGUCAGGUAGAGAAUACCAAGGCGCUUGAGAGAACUCGGGUGAAGGAACUAGGCAAAAUGGUGCCGUAACUUCGGGAGAAGGCACGCUGAUAUGUAGGUGAAGUCCCUUGCGGAUGGAGCUGAAAUCAGUCGAAGAUACCAGCUGGCUGCAACUGUUUAUUAAAAACACAGCACUGUGCAAACACGAAAGUGGACGUAUACGGUGUGACGCCUGCCCGGUGCCGGAAGGUUAAUUGAUGGGGUCAGCGCAAGCGAAGCUCUUGAUCGAAGCCCCGGUAAACGGCGGCCGUAACUAUAACGGUCCUAAGGUAGCGAAAUUCCUUGUCGGGUAAGUUCCGACCUGCACGAAUGGCGUAAUGAUGGCCAGGCUGUCUCCACCCGAGACUCAGUGAAAUUGAACUCGCUGUGAAGAUGCAGUGUACCCGCGGCAAGACGGAAAGACCCCGUGAACCUUUACUAUAGCUUGACACUGAACAUUGAGCCUUGAUGUGUAGGAUAGGUGGGAGGCUUUGAAGUGUGGACGCCAGUCUGCAUGGAGCCGGCCUUGAAAUACCACCCUUUAAUGUUUGAUGUUCUAACGUGGACCCGUGAUCCGGGUUGCGGACAGUGUCUGGUGGGUAGUUUGACUGGGGCGGUCUCCUCCUAAAGAGUAACGGAGGAGCACGAAGGUUGGCUAAUCCUGGUCGGACAUCAGGAGGUUAGUGCAAUGGCAUAAGCCAGCUUGACUGCGAGCGUGACGGCGCGAGCAGGUGCGAAAGCAGGUCAUAGUGAUCCGGUGGUUCUGAAUGGAAGGGCCAUCGCUCAACGGAUAAAAGGUACUCCGGGGAUAACAGGCUGAUACCGCCCAAGAGUUCAUAUCGACGGCGGUGUUUGGCACCUCGAUGUCGGCUCAUCACAUCCUGGGGCUGAAGUAGGUCCCAAGGGUAUGGCUGUUCGCCAUUUAAAGUGGUACGCGAGCUGGGUUUAGAACGUCGUGAGACAGUUCGGUCCCUAUCUGCCGUGGGCGCUGGAGAACUGAGGGGGGCUGCUCCUAGUACGAGAGGACCGGAGUGGACGCAUCACUGGUGUUCGGGUUGUCAUGCCAAUGGCACUGCCCGGUAGCUAAAUGCGGAAGAGAUAAGUGCUGAAAGCAUCUAAGCACGAAACUUGCCCCGAGAUGAGUUCUCCCUGACCCUUUAAGGGUCCUGAAGGAACGUUGAAGACGACGACGUUGAUAGGCCGGGUGUGUAAGCGCAGCGAUGCGUUGAGCUAACCGGUACUAAUGAACCGUGAGG